Molecule: long non-coding RNA, 1035 nt
Filed under: Phoenix dactylifera (date palm)
Lineage: Eukaryota; Viridiplantae; Streptophyta; Magnoliopsida; Arecales; Arecaceae
Description: long non-coding RNA (PDAC_LNC016267)
Source: RNAcentral
UUCCAUAUUUUUCCCACAACUAGCCAUUACAUGGUAAGCCAGAUUGGUUUCAACAAAGUUACCAAAGAAAACAAGUGCUUAUAAAAGAACUUUAGACCUUUCAGAUCUAAUAGCUUUCCCCUCUCGUCCACUUCAUUAUAUGAAUAAGUCGUAUUUGAUGCUGAUUUGGUGUAAUGGUUACCAAACCUUUUUGACUCCAUAUAUCAUCAUCUCGAUCUCUUUUCUCAGAAAAAAGGACAUUUUAUCUUUAUUUGGAUGGAAGUGCAUCUCUAAUGCAAUUUGUGGUGCAAUCAAAUUAAAGUUUUCUAAAACCAAAAAAAAAAAGAAUGAAUUGAUUGCUAGUAACUUUGAAAUUUUAAGUUCCCGGAAUGACGACAAGUCUGAUGUCAGUCUCUCAAAUGGGAAUGAAGGAACUAAAAAUUUGCCUUUGGAAGCUAAAGCGAAAGCUUGCUCGAAACAUAUGUAUCAUUCAAAAUAGUUAUUUCUGUAAUUUUUUUCAAAUAAAUGACUUCACAUCUUGCAUAUAACCAUUCACUGGUCAAGUUUCCAGGUGGUUGACAGGUCAAAGACAUGAGGUUUUUUUGGACAUUGAGCACCCAUGCCUGAGUGUUCUCGAAUCAAUAUUGCACUAUAGAUUUGCUUAUCUUGAAACCAAAGGCAACUAAAGAAACAAGUUAGAGAAGAUGUUAAAAGAAGAUAGCGAUCUAUAUGAAGCUGCCAAAGAAAUUAAAUGGCCUACAAAUCAAUAUCAGCAGGUGCAAAAGCACAGAAUAACUACACCUAAGUCCUAACAAUAAAACAACAGACUGGAAUCUUUUGAUCUGUCAUACGGAGUUACUUCAAGUGAUAUGGUCCCCUCCUUCGCCCAAAAAGGAGAGGGGGAGGGGUGGGUUGCAAGGGCUCGUCCGCUUUAUAUAACACAAAUUUCCCAUUCUAUAGAAACGCGCGGGUAAAAUCUCGAAGUGAAAGAAAAGGCAAUGCUUCUAGUUCUGGAAAUAAAGAAUUAAGAGGUUUGUUGAGAAAGGAUGUUAAAGC